CUCACCCAAACCUUCUUCUCUCUAACCACUUCACCCCUUCCUAACGCAAACCUCUGGGUUUCAAAAUCUGGGUUUAAUCCUCUCAAUCAUUCUCUCUAAGGUAUUAGCCCAAACUAUCGACUCUUCCAAAGAAGCUGAUAAAUCAUGUUCUUCUUCUUCAUCUUUCUCCUCCAACCCAGGUGCUUGCAUUUUUCUUUUUUCUUUUUUUCAUGUUUGUAGCUGAACAUGAUUAAGGAGGGGUUACAUAUGAUUCUUUGUACUACAAGACAAGGACAGUCAGGGUGAAUGGGAAAAGAAGCUGCCUUUGCUGGGUUUCUUGGUUCAAUAAGAAAAAGGAGGAAGCUUUAUUUGUUUUUGGUCGUGCUUUCCUUGGGUUUCUUUGAGAGGUUGGUCUGACUGCUGUGGAAAGUUGUUGGUGGUCUUGGUCCUCUUAGGUAUGUGGGGAAGGAGGGAACUUUUUGUAUUUCUAGGCUAGGAAAGGAUUCUGUUUAUAGAGUUAUGGAGGGCUGGAACAGUGGUACUUUUUGUAUUUGUUAUGUUACUUUUUUUUCUUUUCUAUCUCAUUUGUCUAUAUUGAAUUGUGCUUAAGAACAACCAAUGUUAUUGCCCAUUAUACCUAGAUAAAUAAAUCACUUUGUUGUAUACUGCAGAA
Molecule: long non-coding RNA, 652 nt
Organism: Quercus robur (English oak)
Lineage: Eukaryota; Viridiplantae; Streptophyta; Magnoliopsida; Fagales; Fagaceae
Exons: 4
Source: RefSeq, a predicted model, not a curated record